ACCAGACUCCUACGGGAGGCAGCAGUGGGGGAUAUUGCACAAUGGGGGGAACCCUGAUGCAGCGACGCCGCGUGGGUGAAGGAGUGCUUCGGCAUGUAAAGCCCUAUCAGCAGGGAAGAAGAAAUGACGGUACCUGACUAAGAAGCCCCGGCUAACUACGUGCCAGCAGCCGCGGUAAUACGUAGGGGGCAAGCGUUAUCCGGAUUUACUGGGUGUAAAGGGAGCGUAGACGGCAGUGCAAGUCCGGAGUGAAAGCCCGGGGCUCAACCCUGGGACUGCUCUGGAAACUGUAAAGCUGGAGUGCGGGAGGGGCAGGCGGAAUUCCUGGUGUAGCGGUGAAAUGCGUAGAUAUCAGGAGGAACACCGGCGGCGAAGGCGGCCUGCUGGACCGUAACUGACGUUGAGGCUCGAAAGCGUGGGGAGCAAACAGGAUUAGAUACCCGCGUAC
This 448-nucleotide ribosomal RNA is filed under the name uncultured bacterium. RNAcentral's name for it is "bacterial SSU rRNA". It matches the Rfam family "Bacterial small subunit ribosomal RNA", at positions 330 to 793 of the family's 1533-position model. The record is from RNAcentral.